This 651-nucleotide ribosomal RNA is filed under the name Streptomyces amritsarensis. RNAcentral's name for it is "bacterial SSU rRNA". It matches the Rfam family "Bacterial small subunit ribosomal RNA", at positions 358 to 1018 of the family's 1533-position model. Lineage: Bacteria; Bacillati; Actinomycetota; Actinomycetes; Kitasatosporales; Streptomycetaceae. The record is from RNAcentral.
GGAAUAUUGCACAAUGGGCGAAAGCCUGAUGCAGCGACGCCGCGUGAGGGAUGACGGCCUUCGGGUUGUAAACCUCUUUCAGCAGGGAAGAAGCGAAAGUGACGGUACCUGCAGAAGAAGCGCCGGCUAACUACGUGCCAGCAGCCGCGGUAAUACGUAGGGCGCAAGCGUUGUCCGGAAUUAUUGGGCGUAAAGAGCUCGUAGGCGGCUUGUCACGUCGGAUGUGAAAGCCCGAGGCUUAACCUCGGGUCUGCAUUCGAUACGGGCUAGCUAGAGUGUGGUAGGGGAGAUCGGAAUUCCUGGUGUAGCGGUGAAAUGCGCAGAUAUCAGGAGGAACACCGGUGGCGAAGGCGGAUCUCUGGGCCAUUACUGACGCUGAGGAGCGAAAGCGUGGGGAGCGAACAGGAUUAGAUACCCUGGUAGUCCACGCCGUAAACGUUGGGAACUAGGUGUUGGCGACAUUCCACGUCGUCGGUGCCGCAGCUAACGCAUUAAGUUCCCCGCCUGGGGAGUACGGCCGCAAGGCUAAAACUCAAAGGAAUUGACGGGGGCCCGCACAAGCGGCGGAGCAUGUGGCUUAAUUCGACGCAACGCGAAGAACCUUACCAAGGCUUGACAUAUACCGGAAAGCAUUAGAGAUAGUGCCCCCCU